GAUGAACGCUGGCGGCGUGCCUAAUACAUGCAAGUCGAGCGAACAGACGAGGAGCUUGCUCCUCUGACGUUAGCGGCGGACGGGUGAGUAACACGUGGAUAACCUACCUAUAAGACUGGGAUAACUUCGGGAAACCGGAGCUAAUACCGGAUAAUAUAUUAAACCGCAUGGUUCAAUAGUGAAAGACGGUUUUGCUGUCACUUAUAGAUGGAUCCGCGCCGCAUUAGCUAGUUGGUAAGGUAACGGCUUACCAAGGCAACGAUGCGUAGCCGACCUGAGAGGGUGAUCAGCCACACUGGAACUGAGACACGGUCCAGACUCCUACGGGAGGCAGCAGUAGGGAAUCUUCCGCAAUGGGCGAAAGCCUGACGGAGCAACGCCGCGUGCGUGAUGAAGGUCUUCGGAUCGUAAACCUCUGUUAUUAGGGACGAACAAAUGUGUAAGUAAAUAUGCACGUCUUGACGGUACCUAAUCAGAAAGCAACGGCUAACUACGUG
Molecule: ribosomal RNA, 497 nt
Filed under: uncultured bacterium
Lineage: Bacteria
Description: partial 16S ribosomal RNA
Rfam family: Bacterial small subunit ribosomal RNA
Source: RNAcentral